AUUGAACGCUGGCGGAAUGCUUUACACAUGCAAGUCGAACGGCAGCACGGACUUCCGUCUGGUGGCGAGUGGCGAACGGGUGAGUAAUGUAUCGGAACGUGCCCAGUCGUGGGGGAUAACGUAGUGAAAAUUACGCUAAUACCGCAUACGAUCUAUGGAUGAAAGCGGGGGAUCGCAAGACCUCGCGCGAUUGGAGCGGCCGAUAUGAGAUUAGGUAGUUGGUGGGGUAAAGGCACACCAAGCAAACGAUCUGUAGUUGGUCUGAGAGGACGACCAGCCACAAUGAAACUGAGACACGGGCCAGACUCCUACGGGAGGGAGCAGUGGGGAAUUUUGGACAAUGGGCGAAAGCCUGAUCCAGCCAGUCCGCGUGCAGGAUGAAGGCCCUCGGGUUGUAAACUGCUUUUGUACAGAACGAAAAGGUUUCUACUAAUACUAGGAGCUCAUGACGGUACUGUAAGAAUAAGCACCGGCUAACUACGUGCCAGCAGCCGCCGUAA
This 500-nucleotide ribosomal RNA is filed under the name uncultured bacterium. RNAcentral's name for it is "partial 16S ribosomal RNA". It matches the Rfam family "Bacterial small subunit ribosomal RNA", at positions 30 to 523 of the family's 1533-position model. The record is from RNAcentral.